AAUAUAAUUAUUAUUAUGAUCUAACAUAGAUUGUUAAUAUUUAAUUAUUUAUGGAAUUAUUUAUUAUAACUGCAUUAUUAUAAUUUAUUACAAUAUUACAUGUAGAAAAUAAUAAAUUUUGUUUUAUUAACAAGUAUAUUUUCUAUUUUUUAUUCUAUUAUUUAAAAAAAUUGAAUAUUAUUAAACAAUAUUAAUAAAAUAUUGCUUUUCCCGCGCGAUUUAGAGUGGAAGAAAAGUUAUUUUCUUCGUCAUUAUUAUUAUUUUCGACGUCAACCAAUCAGAAAAUUACUUGACAUACUAUUACGCGGGAAGUCAUUCUACUGUCGAAAAUCAUGGCGAUAGAAUGUGUCAUCCCGCUGAGGUAUAUGACUUCGAUUAUCAGCAUCGUAUUUUCAUUCCUAACUUUUCCAGUUUAUAGAUUAUUGUAUUGUAUAAUUGAUCGUGAAGAUGAGAAAAAGAAACUGAGAAAGGAUAAAGGUGUUUCGAACGAUAUUCAAUGACGAAUUCGAUAAUUUUUCGUGCAGAGCUGCCAACGUUUAACUUAUUCUAAUAAAGCAUUGUUGUGAUCGCGUGCAAUGCGAUCAUUAAAAUCAGUGUUUGUUGCGUAAUAGUAUUUUUAAUUUUUUUUUAAAUAUAACUCUUCUAUCAAUUAUAUGUUCAUUAUAAUAGUAAAAAUUAAAAGCACGCGAAAUUAGAAUCAGUGAUUGUUCGUUAAAAAUAAUUCGAACGCGUUAAUAGUCUUUUAUUUAUUCAUUUCUUUUUUUUUUUAAAUAUUCGUUUUCGGUAAUAAAAUCAGUGUUUCCCUCAAGAGAAUCCAGAAAUCAUGACUUCAGAUCAAUCAAAAAUUUUUCUAUAACAUUUGAUGGUUACUAGUAACAUUGAUGAUAGGAGUAUCUAUAAUAAUAUUCUUCGCAUCUAAUGGGAAAGAAAGUAAUCUCGACAAGCGAAAAAGCAGCGGAAAAGAAAAUGUUGGAUACGAAGGAGGCGAGAAGGUGGUAGAAGUAGGACGAAGAGGGGAGCACACUGCGCUAUAUCAAUUGUAAUUGACGUUAAACCCGUUGGAGUCGUCGACGACCUUUCACCGGCGAUGCGCCAUAUCUGCGGUUAUCGUCUUCCGUGUUUCUUCCCGCAUUCGAGCUGCUUUUCCUCAAACCUACCAUCGUCCAAAGGGGAGAGGAACGACGACGACGACGACGUCCGCGUCUUGGACGCCCGAGGACGAUGGAUAUCGAUCCUUUCGUCGCUUACUUCUCGACACCUUGAUCGCAGAUUGGAUCUCAUUACGGGGAGGAUUCGAUAAAAAUCGCCCCGACUCUCGAGAUCUCUAUCUCGCGAGCCUCGCUCUCACGUCGUUCGGAGAGAAACGAAGGGGAAACGAUGGAUUAAAUCGCGAGGGAGUUCGCGAACUGGGUUCGAAAAUUGAGAAGAUUAAAUGUGGAAACUGUUGAUUGGACAGGUAUUUCGAAAACGCCUUUCAAGCGAAGCCGAUCUAUUAUCGGGCAAUUCGCAUUAAAAUUACGGGCCAACUAAGAAAAUUUCAUCAAACGCAAACCAUAAAAGAUCCCGCAUGCUCCAUAUAAGCUACGCUCGUUAUCGGUAUAAGCCACGUAAGCAGCGCGUUUGAAAACCGACGCGGUCGAAUUUUACGACCCUGCACGUCCAACAUAUUUGACAGCCGGUUGUCGUUAGAGAGUUUCAUUGCCGCGAUUGUGAAAUCAAUCGGCUCGUAUGCAUAAUUGGAGCCUGGCGAGGAAACGAAACGAAAUUUCAUACCGAACCCGAGCUCUACCGAGGGGGAACGGUUUCGCGUCGCCGUCUAUGGGCAAGAGCGCGUUUUCCUCCGUCUGAUUCGCGCCAGGCCCUCCCCCCGUUGGAUCCAGAACGCGAUCCAACUUCUCGAUAAUCUAUCAAAUGGCAUUUCAGCCACGUGUGCGUCUCUCUCCAACGAUCGUCAAUUCCGAAUACGCAGUUCCGAGCGAAAUCCGAUAAAUUAUUUAUCAGCGCAUUAAUCUACGUAUUUCAUAUCGUUGUACGAUUUUUAUUUAUCCAUCGUAAAUUGGAAGGGAACGAAUUGGUUUUGGUAACUCUCUCGAGAAUUUUUCAACAGGAUCGAUGAAAGCAAGCGAAUAGUGAGAAAUACUGUAGAAAAUUGUAUACGUUUAAAUUUCGAGUCGAGCUAAUUUUCGUCCGAUAAAGUUGGAAAGUUGGAGAAUUUUUCUCGAUACGGGACAAAGCCGGAAGGCGAAUCCCAUCGCGACGCAAAGGCGACGCGGCGCAGCGUUUACUUUGUCGGCGCGAUAACCAUUGGCCAUUGAAUUUAUUCCAGGAAGGAUAACUCGAACUUAGAACGGAAGGAGCCCGCCGAUAAGAUCUGGCCGGCAUCGGGCCAAAGUAGCCCUAUCCGCGGCACCGCGAUAACAGAUACGAGCCGCAGAUAGGCAACGCCGGGUGACAAAUAGCGCGUGCUGUUACGUGCAACCCGAGUUGCUGCCGCGCUUUUUUUCCCCUAUCUAGAUAGCGAUUCUCCACUGUCCUGUCUCGAUGAUAAACGUCGCACAACUCCGGCCGCGAUCCCCCCCUCCGUUUCUGCCGCGGUUUCGCGCGUUGGGAGGUUUCUGCUCGGGGAUAUGAGACGAUAAUUAGAAGAAGGGGAAACGCUCCUAAUUCUUUCCCGCCAUUACUUAAUCUUGGAACGAUUGCAGGAUACAUAUAUGUCGUAAGAGUAUUUUGAUAAUUUGAUGUUACGCAGUUUUAGUUUUAUUUGUAAUUUUUUGGUUAUAACGUUAAAUUGAUGUGCGUUUAAUCUUUAAGGAUAUGUAAUUAACGUUUGUGAAUUUGAAAGUUUUGUACUUCUUUCAACGAAUUCUUCUCUUAUACUUUUAUGUCAGAAUAUUUGUAUAUAGGUUCUUUUAUUUUUCAAACAAAAAUUCGUCAAAUUCGUUAUACAAAUCCUACUGUGUUCCCUCUUUUCGAUUUUAUAAAUUUUAUAAAUUUUUAAAUAAGCAAAUUUAAAGAGAGCCGAUAAAUUAGGUAACGAUUUUAGAAAAUUUUAAUCAGCGCCAUCUCGCGUUUGGAUCGCCGAAGCUCCGACUUGUUACUAGCGUAGCAGAAUAUGCAAGGAGGUAUGCGAACUCAAAGACAAGGAAAGCAAUAUUGUGCGAGAAGGAUAGAGAGUUUUUCCGCCAUUUUAUGGAAAAUUAUACGCUUUCUAUGGAAAAUAUUGACACUUUCAAGAUCACAAUUUAAAGUUAGAAUUUCCAACAAGUUUCUAGUAUCAAUUUUAACACGAAAUUCUUAAUUAAUUGGUUAAUUAUUAACGAUUAAUGCGUGAUUCUGAUAAAUUAAGGACGCCAUAUUGAAAAUUUAUUAUUUAUUUAUUUCUUACGCAAAAUUUCGAUACUUUCAAGAUCGCAUUUUAUAGUUAGGGUUUCAGGCAAGUUUCUCGUAUCAAUUUUAACGUGAAAUUCGUCUUAAUUAAUUAAUUAUUAAUGAUUAAUACUUAUAUUUAAUAUUUUAAAAACAUCGUAUUGAAAAUUCAUUAAUUAUUCGUUUUCUACGCAAAAUUUCAGCAUUUUCAAGAUAAUGAUAAUUUAAAAGUGCUAAAGUUUUGCAUAGAAAUAAUUAAUAAAUGCAUACGAAUAAUUAAUAAUUUUUCAAUAUGGCGUCCUCGAUGUAGUCAGAGAUGCUUUCUGUUCUUCUCGCACAAUGUUGCUUUCUUUAUCUUUGAGUUCGCAUACCUCCUCGCAUAUUCUGUUAUGCUAGUAACAAAUCGAAGCUUCGGUGAUCCAAACGCGAGAUGGCAGUGAUCAAAAUUUUAUGAUAGUCACCUAACUUAUCAACAAAAUUUAUUCAUUUAAAAAUCAAUAACACGAGAAAGAGUAUAAAAUGUAUAGAUUAAACUACAAUAUAAGAAUUAUUUGAAUGGAAAUCGUAUCACAGUGUAAAGAGGAAUAAUAAAAAAAAGAAUGAAGAUUUAUA
This is a long non-coding RNA of Apis cerana (Asiatic honeybee), 3978 nucleotides long. RefSeq lists it as uncharacterized. The record is from RefSeq and is a predicted model, not a curated record. NCBI's taxonomy places the organism in Eukaryota, Metazoa, Arthropoda, Insecta, Hymenoptera, Apidae.